CCUACGGGAGGCAGCAGUAGGGAAUCUUCCACAAUGGGCGAAAGCCUGAUGGAGCAACGCCGCGUGGGUGAAGAAGGUCUUCGGAUCGUAAAACCCUGUUGUUAGAGAAGAAAGUGCGUGAGAGUAACUGUUCACGUUUCGACGGUAUCUAACCAGAACGCCACGGCUAAAUACGUCCCAGCAGCCGCGGUAAUACGUAGGUGGCAAGCGUUAUCCGGAUUUAUUGGGCGUAAAGGGAACGCAGGCGGUCUUUUAAGUCUGAUGUGAAAGCCUUCGGCUUAACCGGAGUAGUGCAUUGGAAACUGGGAGACUUGAGUGCAGAAGAGGAGAGUGGAACUCCAUGUGUAGCGGUGAAAUGCGUAGAUAUAUGGAAGAACACCAGUGGCGAAAGCGGCUCUCUGGUCUGUAACUGACGCUGAGGUUCGAAAGCGUGGGUAGCAAACAGGAUUGGAUACCCCAGUAGUC
RNAcentral lists this ribosomal RNA (465 nucleotides) under uncultured bacterium. RNAcentral describes it as "partial 16S ribosomal RNA". It matches the Rfam family "Bacterial small subunit ribosomal RNA", at positions 338 to 795 of the family's 1533-position model. The record is from RNAcentral.